This 253-nucleotide ribosomal RNA is filed under the name uncultured bacterium. Its description in RNAcentral is "partial 16S ribosomal RNA". It matches the Rfam family "Bacterial small subunit ribosomal RNA", at positions 524 to 776 of the family's 1533-position model. The record is from RNAcentral.
UACGGAGGGUGCAAGCGUUAAUCGGAAUUACUGGGCGUAAAGCGUGCGCAGGCGGUUUGUUAAGUCCGCUGUGAAAUCCCCGAGCUCAACUUGGGAAUUGCAGUGGAUACUGGCAAGCUGGAGUAUGGUAGAGGAAGGUGGAAUUCUCGGUGUAGCAGUGAAAUGCGUAGAGAUCGGGAGGAACACCAGUGGCGAAGGCGGCCUUCUGGACCAAUACUGACGCUCAUGCACGAAAGCGUGGGGAGCAAACAGG